GGGUUGUGAGGUUAAGCGACUAAGCGUACACGGUGGAUGCCCUGGCAGUCAGAGGCGAUGAAGGGCGUGCUAAUCUGCGAUAAGCGCCGGUAAGGUGAUAUGAACCGUUAUAACCGGCGAUACCCGAAUGGGGAAACCCAGUGUGAUUCGUCACACUAUCAUUAACUGAAUCCAUAGGUUAAUGAGGCGAACCGGGGGAACUGAAACAUCUAAGUACCCCGAGGAAAAGAAAUCAACCGAGAUUCCCCCAGUAGCGGCGAGCGAACGGGGAGGAGCCCAGAGCCUGAAUCAGCAUGUGUGUUAGUGGAAGCGUCUGGAAAGGCGCGCGAUACAGGGUGACAGCCCCGUACACAAAAGCGCAUAUGCUGUGAGCUCGAUGAGUAGGGCGGGACACGUGGUAUCCUGUCUGAAUAUGGGGGGACCAUCCUCCAAGGCUAAAUACUCCUGACUGACCGAUAGUGAACCAGUACCGUGAGGGAAAGGCGAAAAGAACCCCGGCGAGGGGAGUGAAAAAGAACCUGAAACCGUGUACGUACAAGCAGUGGGAGCCCCACCA
RNAcentral lists this ribosomal RNA (556 nucleotides) under Salmonella enterica subsp. enterica serovar Typhi. RNAcentral's name for it is "bacterial LSU rRNA". It matches the Rfam family "Bacterial large subunit ribosomal RNA", at positions 1 to 587 of the family's 2925-position model. Lineage: Bacteria; Pseudomonadati; Pseudomonadota; Gammaproteobacteria; Enterobacterales; Enterobacteriaceae. The record is from RNAcentral.